UACAGAGGGUGCGAGCGUUAAUCGGAAUUACUGGGCGUAAAGCGUGCGUAGACGGUUAUUUAAGUCGGGUGUGAAAGCCCCGGGCUCAACCUGGGAAUUGCAUUCGAGACUGAAUAGCUAGGGUACGGUAGAGGGAAGUGGAAUUUCCGGUGUAGCGGUGAAAUGCGUAGAUAUCGGAAGGAACAUCAGUGGCGAAGGCGACUACCUGGCCUGUUCUUGACGCUGAGGCGCGAAAGCUAGGGGAGCAAACGGGG
Molecule: ribosomal RNA, 254 nt
Filed under: uncultured bacterium
Lineage: Bacteria
Description: partial 16S ribosomal RNA
Rfam family: Bacterial small subunit ribosomal RNA
Source: RNAcentral